CAACAACAAAACCAAUAAACCAACAAGAGAAUGCUUUGCCAAAACAGGCUUGACAAACGAAAAACGUGUUGGAGGAGGCAAGGCUCCCAGUCCUGAGAUGACCCAGCGGUGAGGAGCAAGUGGGGCACAAAAGAUCUGCAGGACUUCUGGAACCAUCCUGCAAUGGUCUCUGCAAUGCCCUGUGCUGUGCUGCAGACUGCAGCUCAGGAUCCCAGUGCCUUGCCCCGUUGUGCAGUGCCAUCUCCUGGAAAGCUGUGCCUGGGCUGCACACACUGCUCACUGCCGGAGCUUCACAACCAGACUUUUGCUCCCGAAGCACCUAGUGGUGCCACAAGCAGAAAGCCACUGCCUCGAGGUAUCUUCUGACCCACCAGAAGUGCUCCACCAAACUCCUCUUUCUCCAGCAGCAAGAAGUAUGAAGUAUGCUCUCUGUGAGGAGCCCUGUGGCAGGACAUACCUGCACAGCUCCUUCCUGCUCUGGGUGGUGAAUAUAGAUCUCUAGGUACAAGAAGCUCCGUAAAAGGAGCACGAAUAAACACCUGUGAGAUGCUGUUCCUUACUUUUUGUUCAGCUUUGGGCACAAGUUCCCUGCUCAGUGAAAUGCCAGGCACGUCAGUGCCCUGUUUACCUGAUCUUCCUGGUUUUGACUUUAAGUGACGUAUUUGCACUCUUCCUCCCCAAGUUUGAUGACCUCGUCAUGAGCAACAACCAAGCCCCUAAUCACAGUACUCAUCCUGCAUUUAAAAUGUUGCUACAUCUUUUUAAUGAGACAAAAAUGUGCACGUGGAACUCGCUCCUGAAUGCUACUGGCUUGACUAAGCUCUAUAUUUAUCCUGAAAACACAUGAAAAAAUGGGUGGUUCUGAGGGCAACGCGUUUACUCCUAAGAAACAGUAGCAGAGCUUAAGUGCUUAGUCACUGCAAAAAACGAACACGGCAAUUUAAAUCCCAAGGCUGGUAUUUCAUCCAUCAUUUUGGGCUAUUGGAGCGUGUUCUGAGCAGCUGGGAGGUUAACAUGCUGCGGUAAUCUGUCAGAUGCAAUGAACCAACCAGUGGGCCAAGGUAAAGCUGCAAAAGCUGGUAUUGGAAAAAAAAGGAUAGAAAGGAAAAAAGGCAAUUAUAUCAAUGUAAGGCCACAGAUUUCAUCAACAAGGAACAAACCAACACACGUGGCUGCCUACUGUCUUCUUUGACCUUUUCUGACCAACUCCUCGGUGUUGCCAACUUGUGUUCACCACCUCACUUUUGUCCUGGAACACGCU
RNAcentral lists this long non-coding RNA (1261 nucleotides) under Gallus gallus (chicken). RNAcentral describes it as "long non-coding RNA NONGGAT003077". The record is from RNAcentral. Lineage: Eukaryota; Metazoa; Chordata; Aves; Galliformes; Phasianidae.